GACAGAGGGUGCAAACGUUGCUCGGAAUCACUGGGCGUAAAGGGCGUGUAGGCGGGAAGGAAAGUCAGAUGUGAAAUCCCUGGGCUCAACCCAGGAACUGCAUUUGAAACUCCCUUUCUUGAGUGUCGGAGAGGAAAGCGGAAUUCCUGGUGUAGAGGUGAAAUUCGUAGAUAUCAGGAAGAACACCCGUGGCGAAGGCGGUUCUCUGGGACGGUACUGACGCUGAGACGCGAAAGCGUGGGGAGCGAACAGG
This 253-nucleotide ribosomal RNA is filed under the name uncultured bacterium. RNAcentral's name for it is "partial 16S ribosomal RNA". It matches the Rfam family "Bacterial small subunit ribosomal RNA", at positions 524 to 776 of the family's 1533-position model. The record is from RNAcentral.